GAUGAACGCUGGCGGCGUGCCUAAUACAUGCAAGUCGAGCGAACAGACGAGGAGGUUUCUCCUCUUACGUUAGCGGCGGACGGGUGCUUAACACGUGGAUAACCUACCUAUAAGACUAGGAUAACUUCGGGAAACCAGAGCUAAUAACGGAAAAUAUAUUGAACCGCAUGGUUCAAUAGUGAAAGACGGUUUUGCUGUCACUUAUAGAUGGAUCCGCGCCGCAUUAGCUAGUUGGUAAGGUAACGGCUUAUCAAGGCAACGAUGCGUAGCCGACCUGUGGGGGUGAUCGGCCACACUGGAACUGAGACACGGUCCAGACUCCUACGGGAGGCAGCAGUAGGGAAGCUUCCGCAAUGGGCGAAAGCCUGACGGAGCAACGCCGCGUGAGUGAUGAAGGUCUUCGGAUCGUAAGACUCUGUUAUUAGGGAAGAACAAAUGUGUAAGUACCUAUGCACGUCUUGACGGUACCUAAGCAGAAAGCCACGGCGAACUACGUG
This 497-nucleotide ribosomal RNA is filed under the name uncultured bacterium. RNAcentral's name for it is "partial 16S ribosomal RNA". It matches the Rfam family "Bacterial small subunit ribosomal RNA", at positions 28 to 507 of the family's 1533-position model. The record is from RNAcentral.